CCUACGGGUGGCAGCAGUGAGGAAUAUUGGUCAAUGGGCGGGAGCCUGAACCAGCCAAGUCGCGUGAGGGAAGACGGUCCUAUGGAUUGUAAACUGCUUUAGUCGGGGAGCAAUGCCGGGCACGCGUGCCCGGAGGGAGAUUACCCACAGAUUAAGCAUCGGCUAACUCCGUGCAAGCAGCCGCGGUAUUACGGAGGAUGCGAGCUUUAUCCGGAUUUAUUGGGUUUAAAGGGUGCGUAGGGGGAUGAUUAAGUCAGUUGGGAAAGUCCGCGGCUCAACCGUGAAAUGGCCGUGGAAACGUGUCGGCUAGAGAACAGGAGCGGUAGGCGGAAUUCGUGGUGUAGCGGUGAAAUGCUUAGAUAUCACACAGAACACCGAUUGCGAAGGCAGUUUACCGGACUACAUCUGACACUGAGGCACGAAAGUGUGGGUAGCAAACAGGAUUAGAUACCCGGGUAGUC
RNAcentral lists this ribosomal RNA (461 nucleotides) under uncultured bacterium. RNAcentral describes it as "partial 16S ribosomal RNA". It matches the Rfam family "Bacterial small subunit ribosomal RNA", at positions 338 to 795 of the family's 1533-position model. The record is from RNAcentral.